AAAAAAUAAAUAAAAAAUAACAAAAUAAAAAAAAAAUAAAAAAAGAGAAAAAAAACAAAAAUAAAAACAAAAAAAAGAAAAAAAACAAAAAUAAAAAUAAAAAAAACACAAAAAAAGAAAAAAAUAAUAUAAAAAAAAACCCGCCACUUGGUUUUCAGUGCCCUUCCUGUCCUUGAUUUCCAAAUCAAAUUCCUGCAGUAAUAAAAUCCAUCUGAUCAACCGAGGCUUUGCA
RNAcentral lists this long non-coding RNA (232 nucleotides) under Panax ginseng (ginseng). Its description in RNAcentral is "long non-coding RNA (PGIN_LNC003526)". Lineage: Eukaryota; Viridiplantae; Streptophyta; Magnoliopsida; Apiales; Araliaceae. The record is from RNAcentral.